AAUGUUUAGUAGCCUCAAGCUCAUAAGUAUGGGCACCUACAUGACCAUGAACAAGACUCUACUAGACACUGCUCCAUGACCUGGGACAUAAAGCCUAAGCUCUGAUACCAACUUUGUCACGUCCCAAACUACCCUCUAGACGUUAGUGGCACCCAGCUAACACCACAUGCCGGGAGAACCAUACUUUCUUACCUUAGCCAUUUAUUUGCAGCAUUUGAUUAAUUAAAUGAGUAUACAAAUAAUUUGAUAACUAUUACGAACAAUUAAUAUCUCAAAAUAUUAGAUUAAAACUCUGGCCCAAAUCCCACACUAGACCACGGAGCAUCUAAGAGAAUUACAAAAGACCUCAUAUGAAUAAAUGAUAAAGACUCUUUGGAUAUCCUCCACGAACAAUGCGGCGGCUCACCUCAAUAACUUAAUCAACUCUAGCGAACUCGUCGGCUACUAUCACCUUCUUCACCAAUAGUAUCUGCAUGGACAUGCAGGUAAGGAGUGAGUUAUACGUAAAUAUAACCCAGUAAGAUCAUCGACCCGCCACUCUGAUUACCUCUGGAACAAGUGUUAGAAAAACAAAUACACAACGAGCACACCAAUAAUAUGUACAGAAAUUAAUUACUAUAUAAGUUCCAAACAAUUAUUCAACAACAAUACUAUAUAUACCUCAACACAAUCUACACUAAGGACUUGUCAUUAACGGUAGUGUAGAAAAUUAACCAAACACCCCCACGAGUCCACGACAGCAUGCACAAUGCUUCAAAUCUAUCACGACAGCAUACAUAAUGCCCCAAAUAUAUAGCGGCGGCAUACACAAUGCCCAAAAAUCUAUCACGGUGGAAUACACAAUGCCCCAAAUAUAUAGAGGCGGCAUACACAAUGCCCAAAUCUAUCACGGCGGCAUACACAAUGCCCUAAAUAUAUAGCGGCAGCAUACACAAUGCCCCAAAUAUAUUACGACAGCAAAGAAAUAAUUUCUAAUGCUCCGACGCCAUACCACAAGGCUACGCCACAUCACACUACACUACAAAUCACUUAUUAAAUAAUUUUAGCUGUUAAAAAAAUAAUAUAUAUGCGGCUGGUCAAAGACCACGAUUUUGCCAAGCGCACGCUCAUUCCAACACAUGGACCAGGCAAAAAUAAUACAUACUUUCAAACGGAUUUUAGAAAAGCAAGCACCCAAAGCUUAAAGUCUCACUUACCUCACAAAUGACAAGUUUUCCAACCUUGCGACUUCUAGAACACCAACCAAACAGCCUCCAAUUGACUCAAUCUAUCCAAAAUAUUAAUUAACAAUGUCAACUAUGCUAGUCGGGUUAAUUUCUUAUAUUAGAGUACAAUUUGAUACUCGGCAUAUGGCAUGUUAACUACUUGACUAAUCUUUUAGUUACAUAGAUAUUCAAAAGCACAUUAAAGCUCAUUAAGACUAAAUUUAUUCCUAAGUAGAAUAUGAUAGUGUCGGUUUCAUAGAUACAUGUGAAUCUUUACCUGAAGAAUGAAUAUAUAUAAAUACAAUUAGUCCAAUAUUGUAUGAAGUUUUCUGGAAAAGAUUCCUAUGCCAAGUAUUCUGACUCCAUAAUACCAAUCUUAAAGGGCUUUGUUAUUAAUAACUAAUACUGAGGUUCUAUUAUAAGAUUCUAUGUAUUUUUCCAAGGUUUUCUAAGUAUAUGUCUGCCAUGAUCAGUAUGUAUCCAAAGUAAUUCUUGUAAACAUUACAAAUAGCUUUAAUUACCCCUAAUUUAAUCCUAGGAAUAUGAAGUUAAUCUUAUACCUGGAUAGCAAAUUUGAGUUGCAAAAGCAGUCUCAGUCUCCUAAUUCCCGGUUUCGACAUUGCACUCCACCAAAGAGACAAAUUAUAGCCUUUUCUGCCAAAACAUGAGCGCCGCCGACUAAUCCCUUAUGUAUAUGCAUUAGAUAACGGCCUUACCCUCUAACUUAAGUCAUUCCACGUAGGCCAGCACAGAAAUAAUGUGGGCCUAGCCCAUUUUUUUUAUCUAUAUUUAUUAUUCUAAUUAUUUAUUACCCAACUAAUAUGUGUAAUAUAGGCUCACUAAUUAUUUAGUUAAUCUCAAUCUCAAAAAUAAUAAGUAUAUCAAAAUAUUUUGGGUUAUUACAUUCUACCCACUUAAAGAACAUUCGUCCUCGAAUGUUAAGCGAGUAAUACCCUAGAAAAGAGAGGUAUGAAUACCUCAUCGUUAAGCUCAUCUUAUAUUUGCAUAUUUACCCUACAUAUGCCUUUUGUAACUCGUUUGGAAUCUUAUUAACAACUACCACUAUCCCAAGGGUCAGAAUCUCUACCCUAUUGUCUUAAAUCAUAAUUAGAUAUGUUGAACACCUUUUUAUUCAUCUCAUAUAAAACUUUCGUAUUAGGAAAUUCCUCGCCUAUGGCAAUCGCUAAGAUCAUAAGGAACAUCAAAUCUAAUAUCUUUUACCCGACAAUUGUGCAUGAUACCAAUCAAUCUGUGCAAAUAUUAACAUUAAAGACAGACCUCCGCACCACUGGUAGAUCUACUAUGGUGUCCCAUCUAUGAACAAAUAUCACACAUUCUCUAUUUACUCUAUCCACAAAUAUAGUCUUCUUACUAGGAUCAUCACCACGUAUGGCACAUUGGGCUUACUAAAUAUGACAAAACCAGUCAAUUCAGGCCCAAGUUCACUUAAAUAUCAACAGUUCAAACCAUAACGAAUUCGCAAUCAUCCCUCUGUCCUAACUGUGAUCCCACGUGUCUAAUAAACAUAAUCAAUAAUAGUAGGCUCCCUCACUUGUGUAAAAUUAUUCGUUUCCAGUUAUCGCAUCACUUUAUCAAUAUUCAAACUAUCUCAACUCAUGUAGUACAAGAUACAACAUCAUGGCAAUUGUCAGAACUGAACAUUAAAUUCAAUAAUAUUUGUGUUAAUUCUUUUCAAGUAUUUCAACUCUUUGAAUUGUCUAUCUCUCUCGUAUACGGUGCAUGACAGUCUACAUACUAUACGUUCUACCCUUAUUUUAAUAGCUAAUCAUGCCACUACUCACUAGGUUUCAUACUCACCCUUUUACAUAUUGGCACAUUAAGCGUUAUACUUAAGUCAUACUUUCUCCCACAUAUCAGAAUUCAUUAAGAGACCCCAAGUAGAAUAUGUUGUACCUUUUACAUCACAUAGUACCUCUAUUAAGAUCAUACUCAAUGCACUUAAAUUAGAAUUGUCAUGCCACAAUUGCACAUAAUAUUACCAUCACGAUAUCACUAGUAAUAUCAUCACUUCAAAUGACAUUAAGCUUAGACGAUAAGCAUCUUCCUCAUAAUAUCUUUCACGCCAAGUCUAACUCUAGAGGUGUUGAAGCUAUUGUUACCUAACACAUCUUACUUCUGCGUCCAAUCUUUUCUUCUUCAAAUCGAACUCAUAAUAUCGAGUUGUAUCCAUAAUGUUGAAUAUUGAACACGUCGCUCUCAAGAAGAAAUGAAAUCCUUAGACCACUUUACAAUUCAAACAUAUUUCAACAUUCAAAAAUUUGACUAACUCUCAAACCUAAAUUAUUAUUUUUUUUUUUGAAUUUUUUUUUUGGCACGCGUUCCUUCGAAAAUAGAGUUAUCCCAAAUUUUACAGCAAGUAAAAUAUCAACUAUCACCAAUGUGCAUAACAUUUCAUGUACUCAAUACUACUGUCAAUCGCCCGUAUAUUGUAAGAAACUUCCAAAUCAAUUAUGCCGUCUAGCAGAGGAGGAUACACGCGGCUUAGCCAUUUUCUAAAAGGACAUUCUAAAAAUAAACUUGAUUCAACUUAACGCACGAAUAACGAACGAAAGAAUAAAACAUCCUAAAUGUUUAGUAGCCUCAAGCUCAUAAGUAUGGGCGCCUACAUGCCCAUGAACAAGACUCUACUAGACACUGCUCCAUGACCUGGGACAUAAAGCCUAAGCUCUGAUAUCAACUUUGUCACGUCCUAAACUACCCCGUAGAUAUGAGUGGCACCCAACUAACACCACCUGCCGGGAGAACCAUACUUUCUUACCUUAGCCAUUUAUUUGUAGCAUUUGAUUAUUUAAAUGAGUAUCCAAAUAAUCUGAUAACUAUUACGAACAAUUAAUAUCUCAAAAUAUUAGAUUAAAACUCUGCCCCAAAUCUCACACUAGACCACGGAGCAUCUAAGAGAAUUACAAAUGACCUCAUAUGAAUAAAUGAUAAAGACUCUUUGGAUAGCCUCCACGAACAAUGCGGCGGCUCACCUCAAUAACUUAAUCAACUCUAGCGAACUCGUCAGCUACUAUCACCUUCUUCACCAAUAGUAUCUGCAUGGACAUGCAAGUAAGGAGUGAGUUAUACGUAAAUAUAACCCAGUAAGAUAAUCGACCCGCCACUCUGAUUACCUCUGGAACAAGUGUUAGAAAAACAAACACACAACGAGCACACAAAUAAUAUGUACAGAAAUUAAUAACUAUAUAAGGUCCAAACAAUUAUUCAAUAACAAUACUAUAUAUACCUCAACACAAUGACUUGUCAGUAACGACAAUGUACAAAAUUAACCAAACACCCCAAACGAGUCCACGACAGCAUGCACAAUGCCCCAAAUCUAUCAUGGUAGCAUACACAAUGCCCCAAAUAUAUAGUGGCGGUAUACACAAUGCCCCAUAAUCUAUCACGGCGGCAUACAUUAUGCCCCAAAUAUAUAGCGGCGGCAUACACAAUGCCCCAAAUCUAUCACAACGGCAUACACAAUGCCCCAAAUAUAUAGCGGCAGCAUACACAAUGCCCCAAAUAUAUUACGGCAACGAAGAAAUAAUUUCUAAUGCUCCAACGUCAUAGCACAAGGCUACGCCACAUCACACUACACUACAAAUCACUUAUUAAAUAAUUUUGGCUGUUAAAAAAAUAAUAUAUAUAUAUAUAUAUAUAUAUAUGUAUUUGCGGCUGGUCAAAGACCAUGAUUUUGCCAAGCGCAUGCUCGUUCCAACACAUGGACCAGGCAAAAAUAAAACAUACUUUCAAACGGAUUUUAGAAAAGCAAGCACCCAAAGCUUAAAGUCUUAUUUACCUCACAAAUGACAAGUUUCACAACCUUGCGACUUCUAGAACACCAACCAAACAGCCUCCAAUUGACUCAAUCUAUCUAAAAUAUUAAUUAACAAUGUCAACUAUGCUAGUCGGGUUAAUUUCUUAUAUUAGAGUACAAUUUGAUUCUCGGCAUAUGGAAUGUUAACUACUCGAAUAAUCUUUUAGCUACAUAGAUAUUCAAAAGCACAUUAAAGCUCAUUCAGACUAAAUUUAUUCCUAAGUAGAAUAUGAUAGUGUCGGUUUCAUGGAUACAUGUGAAUCUUUACCUGAAGAAUGAAUAUAUAUAAAUACAAUUAGUCCAAUAUUGUAUGAUGUUUUCUGGAACAGAUUCCUAUGCCAAGUAUUCUGACUCCAUAAUACCAAUCUUAAAGAGCUUUGUUAUUAUUAAUUAAUACUAAGGUUCUAUUAUAAGAAUCUAUGUAUUUUUCCAAGGUUUUCUAAGUAUAUGUCUGCCAUGAUCAGUAUGUAUCCAAAGUAAUUCUUGUAAAUAUUACAAAUAGCUUUAAUUACCCCUAAUUUAAUCCUAGGAAUAUGAAGUUAAUCUUAUACCUGGAUAGCAAAUUUGAGUUGCAAAAGCAGUCUCAGUCUCCUAAUUCCCGGUUUCGACAAUGCACUCCCCCAAAGAGACAAA
Molecule: long non-coding RNA, 5655 nt
Filed under: Nicotiana tabacum (common tobacco)
Lineage: Eukaryota; Viridiplantae; Streptophyta; Magnoliopsida; Solanales; Solanaceae
Description: long non-coding RNA (NTAB_LNC011354)
Source: RNAcentral